RNAcentral lists this unclassified non-coding RNA (18 nucleotides) under Mus musculus (house mouse). Its description in RNAcentral is "oocyte_clustered_small_RNA9557". The record is from RNAcentral. Lineage: Eukaryota; Metazoa; Chordata; Mammalia; Rodentia; Muridae.
UAAAUGACAACACCUUCA